CAUCAUUUCUACUUCCUACUGGCAUAACUGGUUAUGCCAGAAGACUUUUUCCAGGAGGAGAAGCUGCUCUAUAUUCAGUUAAUCUCUUCUAUAUGCAAUCAGAAAUGUGAACAAUUUCUCUAAAGUAAUAAUUGAUUUGGAACAUUUUUUUUUUCAUUUUGGAAAAAUGCCUUAAAGCGGAAUUCUAACCCUAUUUAGUCAGAAUUUAUAUCAUAGUAAAUGCAACAAUUAUAUUACUACCAAAAUGAGAGGUCAUAUAAAUAAAGCAGUACAAAAUGACAUCACACUAUAAGGAAAAUAAAUAAAGAGUCGAUGCAAAGAAGAUAGCUUCCAUAGAUACAGCAUUUACGUUUCUUAUUCUUAAGGCUCAUUUCAGUUUCUUUACUUUGAAAAGCACAGCUAAAAUGGUGUAUAUGAAGACACUAAAAAAGAAAGAGCAUCUUCCAGAUUCCACAAGCCAAAUUGUAGUAUUUUGUUUUACUGCAACCAGUAUUUAGCAGAUAAUUUAUGAAAGCAUACAACUCUACCUAUUUUGAUGUAAAAUAGAUGCCAGAAAAAUAAAUAUAAUGGCAAUGACAUAAUAGUAUUGUCGCAGACUCCUAUGAAAGUAAUUUGGUUUUGUGUGUGAAUACACUUUCAAGUCAAUGUUGACUCCUUGCCACUCAAUGAUGGAUUGACAGACCUGUGGAAUAUGAAAGUCAUAAAUUCCCUCUUAGAAUGACUAGACUAGCAAAGAAAAAGUAAUAAUAAUGGUUUUAAAAUAUGGUUUGGCAUUUGUUGAAAAAUAUGUAAUGCCAUUUCAUAGCUUCAUGGACAAUUCACAGGAGAACUGAGAUGGAGAAAAUUUCAUUUAUAUAUGAGUUUUAUAUUCUAUCAAUGGAGCAAUAAUUUGAAUAUUUCACAUUUAAUUGAUGUAGUAUAUUUUACACAGGGGAAAACAUCUGACAUCUAUUUCAGUUGGUCAUGUAGUUCAAAGGGCAAAAAUUGCUUAUUUAUAUGGUGUAUUUCCAUAAAAUUAAUUAGAAUCAUAAUACCGUUAAAACUGAAAAGUCACUAGAAGAAAUAUGAUUCAACCAAUUAAACAUUCAAAAGACACAUUUCUGCAAAGCUAGCAAAGGAUGAAUGGAUGGAUGAGCUUUAUAGUGAUAUGUCACCAUGAUUCGGCUUCUGGUGCUUUUCACAUAUUUUGGAUCAUAAUUUCCCAUCAGUAGAAAUGUUUUACCUCUGGCAAACAACUAGUGGUUACAUUGGCUUGUCACGUAAUAUUAUUCUGCAUAAGGUAACAGCAUACUUAAAUUAGAUUCAAAUUAAGUAUUUGAAGCAGAGAAAAUAUGGCACAUAACAGUGAGUUGCAUCCAUUGUAUAAUGGCAAAGAUACAACGUAAAUAAUACAAGGUCUAUCUCUGGUAAACCUUGAGGAUUAUUUCAUACCAGGAGAGAGAAAAUCCUUUUCAGGGCUUUAAACUAAAUGCCAAAUGACUGCCAGGACAUUAUAAAUAUACAAAAUAAAUCUAGAAGGACUUAUUAGCUGUGUUUACACAACAUGCUAAAUCCAGAUUAAGAAAAUGCAAUCGUUGUUUUGACGGAACAUGUUAUACCCAACAAAUAAACCAUAUUAUGGAUUAGUAUACAUCCUGUUUUCCAAAACAAUGGCUCGGUUCCAAAACACAAUGAAGCAAAAAUUAUUUAAUCUUAUUUUAAUUUGGCAUGAGCAUGAAUUUAGCUCUAUUUUGUUUUUUAUUAUUAUUCAAACUUUUAAAAGGAAGAGAUAAUUAAAGCCCUUACGCUCCAAAAGGCAUGCUUCAAAUUGGUAAAGAAAAAGAAGAACAAGGUAGAAUUGGUAAUAUGGAGACAGUAGGAUAUCAAAAAUAAAUGUUAAAUUUGGACUAGAGAAAUUAAUCUUCUGUGCUACUAUUAACAUGAUUUGGUGGGUGAAGACUAUCACAUGGUUUUUCUUUCAUCUCAAAGGGGUUUUGUUUUAAAUGCUAUAUUCUUGAAAAAAAGACGAAGGCUAUUGUGAUAUCAGCUAUUUCACAUUAACCAAUACAUUCAUUAAACUUUUCUCAUGCCGUACAGUCUACAAUCUACCACUCAUAAUUUUAUUAUAAAAACUACCUUGCCCCUAGAAUCUGGUCACAAUUGUGAAAGUUUGGAGAAAUAAUUUCUAAAUCUGCUUUUUAAACCCACUUUUUUUCUUUAGAAGUAGUUGUUAUUUACAUGGAUAUAUUUUCCCAUCAAUAAAUUAUAUUUUUCCAUAGGAGCAAGAGAGCUACUUUGGUGUAGUGGUAGGCAAUGGCAAACCAAUUCCUAAAAACCUUGCCAAGAAAAUUGCAAUCAUUUGCCUGGGCAGCCAUCAGAAGUUAACACUGACACACAGGGACAAAAAAAAGGAGAGAAACCUAAUAUAAAAAUAUAAAUCCUUAUCCAAGCAAUAACACAUUGUAGCAAAUAAAUACACAUUUACCUUUAUAAACAUCAAUCUUGAUUAUGUCAUGCACGCUUUCUAUCUAAACCAGAUCAACUAAAUUACUUAAUAUCCUCGGGCAGAUACAAACCUGAGGUUUCAACUGCAGCAACCAAAUGCUUGUCUUCUGCCAAUUAUUCUUGUUAAGAUCUAAAUCAAGUUUAAAGCAGUUAGGGGGAAAGAUUUACAGAUUAUUGCUCUUAUUUAUUCACCUUUCACUGCUUAGAAGAUUUUAAUGUUUUAAAACAGGUAUGAUAAAGAUGCUUUGAAUUAAAUUCAGCUCUUGGAGAUGGCAUUUGUGUAAGUUUCUUCACAUCGUUCCAUUUCUACUUCCAAGUCUGCUCAGUCUUCUUCCAAAGCUUUUUUCUUAAUUCCCUCAUCCAGCCAACAGACUUGGAAUUCCCAAAUGGUCCUUAAUCCAAGCCAAUUGGGGCCAACCCUGCCUAACUUCCAAGAUAAAUAGAAUGUUUACUCUUUAAAUCAAUGCUUCUCUUUGGUUUAAAGAGACAACUUUUAAGAUAUGUGGACUUCAACUCCCAGAAUUCCCCAGCCAUCAUGGUUGAGAAGCACUGCUUUAAACAAACAGGCUGUAGCAGUUUCCCAUUAAAUAAAGAUCAAUUCUGAAAAACAACAGAGUGCAAGUGAUGGGGUGAUGCAUCACCUUAUAAAUAAUGCAUGAUAACAGCAGAGAAUAAAUGAAGGGAUUAAGAUUUCAGAUACUAAAAUCAACACUCCCCAGAAAACAUACAAAAGAUUAGAUAUGACUGUUAUUUUAAUUGGCAGUCUAUCAGUUUUAACUUCAGAAAGGUGAUGAGGAUUUGCUUCUCAUUAAUUUCGCUAUGAUUUCAUGAAAUGAUGAUGCCAUUAAAAAUGAAGAUUACUGACCCCCAUGUAAUAUACUAAACCCAUUAUGACAGCUUACAAGUAGCAUCCAAAGAAAAAAGGAGAGGGGAGAGUAAAUGAAAUUUUCCAAGCUACUUCUUUGCAUCAGUAAGAGUUGAGCAGCCUGGUUUCUUCCCUCAUUAGGAGUACUAUUUGUCACCAAAUUUAACAACUGGAACAGAAAAGGAUUAUCUGACCAAGAUGCAGAAAUAGCUUUAUAUUUUAAUUGAUGGUUUGAUUACUAUAUGUAGUUUCAGCAUUAAUAACAUUUAAGUGCUAUUCUAAAUGUUACAAGUAGUCAUUGACUCAUAAACUUUUGCUUAGUGACCUAUCAGGGUUACAACAGCACUGAAAAAAAUGAGUUAUGACCGUUUUUCACUUAUGACCUUUGCAGCAUCCCCAUGGUCACUUAAUCAAAAUUCAGUAACUGGCAUGUAUUUAUGACAGUUGCAGUUUGGGGGGGAGGUGUCAUGUGAUCACCAUGUUUAACUUUCCCAACUGGCUUCCAACAAGCAAAAUCAAUGGGAGAAACCAGAUUUGCUUAAUGGCUGCUGUGAUUUGCUAAACAACUGUGGCAAAAAAGUGGUAAAAUGGGGCACAACUCACUAACUGCCUUGUUUAGUAACAGAAAUUUUGGGUUCAAUUGUGGUCAUCUGUUGAGGAUUACCUGUACUGAGUAGUAAUUUCAGAGGCUGAAAUGCAAUUGGGAAAAAGUGACUUCUCUCCAUUAGCCUAAAAAAGCAGAUUUAGAAAUUAUUGCCCCAAACUUUCACAAUAAGAAAAUGAUAUAAGUCCUGAUUUCAAGACUAGUGCCGAGAUUUGGUUAGUUGUCUUCAACACACUGAUGAAAUUCAUCAUACUAAUUUUACUUAUCAACAGAGACUGCAAUCCUCUUUGUUACAAUACAGAAGGGGAUUGCCGUUGCAUCUUUCUAAGAGAUGUCUUAAAUCUUUCAUCCACCUACUAACCAAGCCCUACCCAUUUUAGCUUCUGAGCCCAGACAGGUGCAACAAGUUACCUGUGGACAAGGGCAGUGUAUAUUAGACUUCUAAUUUAACUCACAUAUAUGUUCUGGUGGAAAAAUAAAAUAAGUGCCAAUAGUGUCAAUGCAUAACAACUAAUUCCCCUUACAUGAUAUUUGCACAUGAGCCCUUUUCACCACAUUUUCAUUGUUCAGCUCAAAUCCCUAUUGUUAAAUGUUAAGAGCCUCAAAGUACAGAAGUUUCUCUGAACAUGAAGAAAAUACUUUUCUUCUCACCAUUGUGUUAAAAUUAACUCCUCUACCUGUGCACACAUGUUAGAGAGUAAAUGGAAACAAUCUGGAGACGCCUCAAACCCUGGCAUUUCUCAUGGCAGCUGUUCAAAGCCUUUUUGGAAUUAAGUGGCACAUAAAUUGCAAGAAUAAAUACAUAACUGGCCAAAAUUGAGAACUAAGUAUAGCAUUCUCCUGAGCUCCUGAUGUAAUUGAACAGUUACCAGCCCAGGAAUAUUCUUAAAAGAGAGGCAUACCCUUGGAUAUGUGCAGAGUGAGACACAUCUCAGACAUUAGAUACCAAAAGAGCUUCAAGAAAAAGCUUCUGCAUAAAAGAUGGGAGAGACACUAACAGUCAGUAAAUGGUCUUGAUCUAAAUACAGCUCUUCUAUUUCAAGAUCACAGGUAGCCAGUGCAAUGAUUUAAGGACUGGUGGAAUGAAAUAUCAUAUAGCAGCUCCAUUUAUAUUGCCAUGACCUAGGAAACAGACAAUGACUGAAUGUGAAGAAGCUGUUCCAACAGGACUUAUGGAAUGCCAACUUCAGGACAAACAAACUCAAUCAUAAGAGACAAAUCAAACAAAGGCAUUAUCUAAGUAGCUGAAGAAGUCAGAUGAGGGUGACAACAUAAGAUCUACCAGCCCCCAUAACCCAGCAAGCAGACGGAAAUGAAAGAGACAUUUCUAUAUCUUCCUUGCCAAGCACAAAAUACAUUUCUUGAUUAAAGGCAGCCCUGAUUCAUGAUCCCUUGGAAGCAACUAUCUAUCUAACCUUUAGCUUUUGUAUGGUACUUAUAUGUGGAUUCUGCUCAUGAAAUUCUGACCUGGAUCUUGGAUCUCUGGGCUGGAUUUGGACUACCCUGCUGUAAUGCUGCCAUUAAAGAAAACUUCUUUCAGA
Molecule: long non-coding RNA, 5494 nt
Organism: Ahaetulla prasina
Lineage: Eukaryota; Metazoa; Chordata; Lepidosauria; Squamata; Colubridae
Exons: 3
Source: RefSeq, a predicted model, not a curated record